UUCAUGCGCCAAUUGUACUCGUUGCUUUACUUAUAGUUGUGAUUGUCGUCGGUUUCUUUCAAUGUUUCAGUUGCUUAUACAAUCUCCACAAAUAUGACUUAAGGUUUUUACUUUAUCUACUGUGCAGAAAAAAGGAUCGAGUAAAGAUAUCGAUAUUUUUUUUGUCAGUGUAUAAUGUAUAUCUUUGUAGACUUGCUAAUUGUCUGUUCUGUAACAACCGUGCAUCGUCCCAAGAUGCAGUACCUACCAUUUGCUUUAUAGUUUUAGAAGUUCUCUGCAUUUGUCCAACCUUUCAAAUGUUAUUGACGUUAUUUUUUUUGGUUUGUUACCUUUCAGUUAUGUGAAAUCAUUCUUGCGUUUGACUUAAAUUUACAGGAAUCGUUGGCCGUAUAUCCCCGAAAACAUGGGGUGCCAUAAUCUUUCUGGCAUCAAUUGCAACUGAAGAAUAUGAAUCAAUGGCUUCUGCACUGAUUGAAAUGGGUUCUACAGACACAAACGUUGAUGUUAAGGCCUUUGCAAGUGACUUGGAAAAGAUGUUCUCGUCAAUAAAGGCAAGCAUUAAACUCAGGAGUUUGGUAAUUGUGUUUUGCUUUCCAAAUAGGGUUAUUUUUUGGUCUGUACUUCUCCUGGGACAAUUUCGGAGCUGAGGGGAAAUAAUGUUUCACAGAACGGUGCAGCCAAAAGAUAACUUUUUUUUUCUUGCCCGUAAAUAUUGUGUUGAGAAUAUUGCGUUUAAGAAUGGGAAAAACAAGAACAAAACUUUGGAAAUCGAAAAACAAAUAACCAAGAUAAAUAACACCAAGAAUUUACGUGGUUCGGCAAUAUGUGCCUACGUCCACGGGACAGCAACAACAAUCUUUCACUAUAUCAAUAAUGAGUACAACCAAUAAUCUUGCCAAAUCUCUAGAACUAGGACUUGACGAAAAACCUAAAAGAACAAGAACAAGAAAUACACUAUCUCUUUUCUUUUCUCUCGCACACACAAUAUUCUCUCACUCUAAUCCCUUGAGUGGUAUACAACUUAUUGUUUUGCUCCCUUUUCAAAACUAGUACAAUAGCCCCUUAAUAUAGACAUAAUAAAGGUCUUCUUCAAUAAGGAUUAUUAAUCCUAAUUGGAAUCUAGUUAUGAAUCCUACUCCAAUUGAGAAACUAAAUCCAAUUGGGUAAACAACUCCAAUUAGGAAAACAACUCCAAUUGGGAAAACAAUUUAAUCCUCUAAGACUAUUAAUUCCCAAUAGACUUAGGACAAUUUAUCAUGGGCUGGAAAAAACCCAACAAUCUCCCUCCAGACCAUGAGGAAGGUAUACCAAAAUAGGAUUGCUCCUCUUGACCAAACUCCUAUUGAUCGAACUACUCAUUAACCAAGACCCUCUUGAUUAGACUUCUCUUGACUAGGCUCCCCCUGAUCGCAACACCCAUCGUCAUUGGCAAAGGCAAUUAUAGACUUCUUUGCCAGAAAACCAUCAAUCAUCUGCAUUAAAGAAGCUCUUCAUCGUAAGUCACAACACUUGCAGUAUUGUUCCCAUCCUUUUGUUCCUUUUUCCAUUUACGACAACGCUUCUUCAUGUGACCCUUUUUCCCACAAUAGUGGCAGUCACCAUUGAAUCUCGUCUCACCAGAAUUUUUGCCUCUUUUCUCUGUGACAAAGAGUUGUCCAGCGCCUGCACCUGAAGCUUUUCUCCUUGUUUCUUCAUUAAACAUGCUAUCCUUAACGGCAUCCAUAGAUAGUACACCAUUAGAAGCCGAAUUGCUUACAGUUACAACGAAGGUUUCCUAACUAUCUAGCAAGGAUCCUAGCAAUAAAAGUGCUAGCAGCUCUUCUUCAAUAUUCAAACCCAUAGUGGCUACCUGAUUGAUCACGUUCUGAAAGUUGUUCAAGUGCUCGGUUACACUAACAUCUUCCGCAUACUUCAUGUUGACAAGCUCUUUGAUAAGGAAUGCUUUCUUGGCAGCGGUCUUCUUCUCAAAGAGGGAUUCUAACUUCUUCCAAAGAGCUUGCGCAUCAGUUUCUUUAGACACAUGGUGAUAGAUGCUCUCGUCCACCCAUUGUCUAAUCGUACCAAUAGUUUUACAAUUCAUCUUGGUCCAAUUGGCAUCAGACAUAUUUUCUGGCCUGCUCUUAACACCUUCAAUUGGCUCAUGGAGAUCUUUACAAUAAAGCAUGUCCUCCAUUCUUGAUUUCCACGUAACCCAGUUGGAGCGGGUGAGUUUCAUCAUAAUUGCACCCUCCAUUCUAAACGGAUAUUAGUCGAACCUGGCUUUGAUACCUAAAAAUGCAGUACCUACCAUUUGCUUGAUAGUUUUAGAAGUUCUCUGCAUUUGUC
This 2325-nucleotide long non-coding RNA is filed under the name Malus domestica (apple). Its description in RNAcentral is "long non-coding RNA (MDOM_LNC001117)". Lineage: Eukaryota; Viridiplantae; Streptophyta; Magnoliopsida; Rosales; Rosaceae. The record is from RNAcentral.